Daucus carota subsp. sativus is the source of this 7647-nucleotide long non-coding RNA. RefSeq lists it as uncharacterized. The transcript is spliced from 5 exons. NCBI's taxonomy places the organism in Eukaryota, Viridiplantae, Streptophyta, Magnoliopsida, Apiales, Apiaceae. The record is from RefSeq and is a predicted model, not a curated record.
UCUAUUUGUCUAGAUAUUAUUGUUGGCUCUAGUUGAAUAUUGAUAUGAUUAUGUGAAUAGUUGUAUGUGAUUAUACUUGUGUUGUGGAUUAGUAUGGAUUUUACAGAUUAUGCAUCCUCCUUCUUUCUCUGAUUCCGAGGACGAAAUCCCUAUAAGGAGGGUAGAUUGUAAUGACUCGGAUUUUUAAAAAUAUUUUUAUUAGUAUUAUAAGUGGUUUUCUUAAUAAGUAAGGAAUAAGAUUUAAUAUUUUAUUCCAGUUUAAGGAGUUUUCAAAAUUUUAUAUUAAACUCCGGGUUAUUGUGUUAUUGAUAAAUGAUUAUAUUUUAAAACUGAUUUUCAUAUAUUGUUUUGAAAAUUCUAGAUGAUUAUUAUGUGAAUAUAUGUGUGAUGUGAGUAAGUGGUAUUGGUGGAUUUGUUGGUUAAUUAAUUAUGGUUAAUUAUGAGUAUUAUAUGAUUAAUAUAUGAAUUUUUGUGAACUUUAUAUUAUCUGGGUUAUUGCGUUAACUGCUCAUAUGUGUUCGUAUUUGAGAGAUUUCAAUUUCUAUAUGCUCAGGAGAAAAUAUAGUUUAUUUGGUUAUGUUCAUAUCGAUUUAUGGAAUGUUAGAUGAUUUUAUAAUCGAUUUACGGAUUUAAUUGCGUAUAUUUAUAUUUAUUUAUUAAUUAUUUGACUUCCGUAAAACCGUCCACUCGUAACGGUUUAGCGAUUUUUCUUCCCGGAAGUUUCAACAAAACUCACCUUUAGCCUAAUUUCAAUAUUCCGGACAUUUUUCGUGUUUUGACUUUUUCGAUCCGGAGUACGGUUUUCCCCGUAGUCGGUCCGGCGGAGUUUUUCGGGUAUUUUAAUUGUUGAUAAUUAUCUGGUUGUCUCGAUAAACGUGAAACUAGAUAUUUUGAUUCAUCCUUAUCUUGUAAUAAUUGCAGUGGGACCCGCAUACUAAUGACUGAUUAAAAAGCCCCGUUUUGAUGAUUAUCUUGAAAACCAGUACCGAUUGGACCCUGCUUUAUUAAUAUAAAGCUACUAAAUACGUAUUUUCAUGUCAUAAACGAUCCAAAGGGGUACCAAUUAUUUGUAAAUAUAAAUAGACCCUUCUAGAGCUUAUUUUCACCCGUAAAAUCAUUUCACCAGUUUCUCUGCACGAAUACCGAGAGAAACCGAGCGGUGUUCUUCGUGUUCUUCAUAAUCAAACGAGGAUUUGGAGGUGUUAUUGGAAUCCGAUGGAGGUGUAUGAAUAGUCAAAACGAAGCUAUCGACGCGUAGAAUCAUGUUUAAUCACCCGUUUGUAUGCAGAUUUAUCAGGAUUUGGACGAGACGUGUACGCUCGAAGACGUCAGGAAGUCGAAAUGGUAUUGCAAAGCGAAUAAGGGAUGAACCGAGGAAGCGAAGAUGUACGGUAGAUAGAGUAUAGCCAGAGAUGGUCUAGAGACUAUGAUAUGCAUAGAUUGUGAAAGUGGAAAGAUGAGAUUGAGAUGUGAGACUGGAGUCAGAUUUAAGGCAAGUAUCCUGCACCCUGCUUUUGGAUAUAUUGCAAAUAUUCUGAUUCAUUCUUUUGAUGUGUUGCAAGUAUCCUAAACCCUUCUUUUGGAUAUAUUGCAUGUUCUGAUCCAUUCCUUUGGUAUAUGUUUCAAGUAUUCAUACCUUUCUUUUCAAUGUUCGAAAAUGCGAGUAUUCUGAACCAUUCUUUCUAAUCUUCAAGUUUCUAAAGAAUUUCCGUUUUACAAAUUAAUUCGAAGUUCAGAUUGUCAUUGAAGCAUGUGUUGCUCAGUGAUAGUUAGAGCUUUGAAUGAAUUGGGAUCUUCUUGAUUAUUCAACCCGCCAUUGUCAUGCUGGUUUAGCAGGCUAAAUUCAGUUGCUUAGCCGAUAAUGGAGGAUACUGAAUAGUUGAGGAUUUCCUGAACUGUGAUUUAUGAAAUGAUGGAUCAUGAUUUAUGAAUAGAUUAUUAUCAAAGUUUGAAUUGGAAUUAUUCUGUUGUUGAUGAUAUUUAUGAUGAUGUUCUGUUAAUUUACAUUGGCUUCUUGAAUUGAAUUAGAGAAUUGGAUUAUUGUUUUUAUAUAAACCUGUGGACCAGAUUCGUGGUCAUGUUAGGCCAAUGAGUGCCUUGGAUCCAGUGAUAGAGCAUGGCGGGGCCUGCUCGGGGUUAGAAAGGAUUAAAGAUGAAUGGCUAGUCUAUGAUUGCGAGUAAAGUUAAGGCUAGGCGAGGAGUCAGAGGUGUUAAGGAUCCAGUGGUCGAGAAGUGUCCAGGAAGAUUGAUAAGGUUGAUGCUAGCUCGAGUUGUGCUAUUGAGAUUCAGAUGUAAGUCAUAGCUGGAAUAGUUGACAGUGAUUCCUCUUAUCGAAGAUGAUCUGAUUUGGUAAGAGAUGUUGUGUAAUAAUAGUGGUUGAUUCUAAUUUCAAUACUGUAACCUGGAAGCGAUCCUGUUGUUUUGGGGGUGAAGAUGUUCUCUUUCAAAUCUUUCAUUUAACGUCUUUCAGAUCUUUUAUUAUGGCUUUCAAGUUUGAAUUUCAAGUUUUAAAUCCUUUGACUUUUAUUUUCAUUAAAAAAAAAAAAAUAAAAAAAAUUCAGGAUUUCAAAAGUGUUUAAAAAUGGGUUUUAUGUGGUGACGUCAGAAUCCAGACCCCCGGAUUCUCGGACUGUCACAGUUGGUAUCAGAGCAACAGGUUAUAAGUAUUUGAAAUUAGAAUAUAGAUCAUAGUUAUAGGUUUUCUAGAGAAGAAUGUGGUGUAACCUCACAUAGAGGUAUGGUCGGACUAUUUAGGAAUAGUCUAGAGAUGUGAGUGAAGCAUAGAGUUUAGUUAGAUGAUCAAGUUAAGUGUGGAUAUUUAAAGAGAUUAGGAUUCUUAAGUUUAGACGUAUGAUUUCUAGGAUGUUGAUUAAUUGAGAUGGUGAAUUGUGGAAAAGGUCAGUAUUAGACCUAGAUAGAAGAGUUUGAUAGUGAAUGAUUGAAUUGAGAAUGGUGAAAAUGCAGAGUUCAGAGUAUUCUGACUAUACUGCACAUUUGAAAUUGGAUUAUUGUAUUGAUUUGAGAAUGAUAUAAAUGCAUGGUUCAUAGUAUGUUGACCAUGUCAGAUAUUUGGAAGAUGUAUAUUGUUUUGAGUGAAGAUAUGAAGAGUAAGUGUAGAGUAUGAGUUGUAUUGGAUUAGAAGAAGAGAUUUGUAGAUAGAGGUUGAUAGAUGAGAAGUGCAUGAUAGAGAGUAAGUGAAGUUGAGUCAGGUUAUUAGAAGCGAUAUUUGCGAGUAAGUUAGAAUUGUUAAUUCUCGACGACUACGCUUUAAGUUAAGCGGGACAAGGUGGGCCCAUAACCCACAGGUUGACGAGUCAGAGAAUAGAAGAUACGCUACGUGUUUGUGCUAUGGAUUUCAAAGGCAACUGGGAUAAAGUAGAAGAAUGUGAACUACUUGGGCCAGACUUAUUACGAACUAUAACGUCUACGAUGACAUCUUAUGAGGCUAUUACGAGUCAAAUCGAUUGAUCAUCAAGAACGUUGAAAAGAAGACAUAUAUCGUACAAUGAUUUAUUGAAGUAGAGUCGGAAUCUGAGAAGACCUUGGCAAUACCUCUCUUCAACUAAAGAUUCUUUUGAUUGUUUUCUCAUCAGUGAGAUAUUAUCAUGAUAUCUUUUCUACAAAAGUUUUGAUAAAUGAGAUCUUUAAUUUCUCAAAUUCUAAGAUGACAUUGAUAUUGAUUCUUGGUAUGAGUUGGAAAGCAAAGAUGUGUGAUAAAGGCAUGUUUAUGAAGAGACAGUGGAAUUCCUUGAUAUUAUUUGAUAUUCUUUGAUAUCCCUUAAUAUUCGUUGAUAUUCUUUGACACUCUUUGAUAUUCUUUGAUAUCUUUUCGAUAUUCCUUAAUAUAUUCCUCGAUAAUCCUUAACAUUCCUUGAUGCUCAUUGAGAUUUCUUGGAUUCUUUCCAUCUGAUUGGGAUGAACAACCCUAUGUAUAGGGGACACAAGGUAUACCUGUCUGUGUGAUAGGAGUUGGAUGGGACGCCAUCACUUGUGUGUGUUGUGAUUACAAGAAGGUUAACAACCUUUAGUAGUGUCUAAUAUGGACACGCAACAUUAAGUUCAAUUGAUCAUAUUGAUCUCCCAGUCACUCUUGUAUUCCAAUGUGACCUAUUUUGAAAAUAUCUUGUUCCUCCGAAAUUUCCAAAAGAUUGAUUCUUGGGAAAUGAAGUUUGCAAUUGUGAAGGCUUUGAUUCUCCUAUUUAUUUAACUUUGAAGGUAUGCCAAGGUUGAUUAAGGGCGGAUGAGCAUGUGAUAUUAUGAAGCGUGUACAAUGAUUUUACAAAUGAUACGUUUUAGUUUUCUUCGCGGAUUCCGAGGGCGGAAUCCUUAUAAGGGGGGUAGAAUGUAAUAUCCCAUAUUUUUAAAUUUAGAUUUGAUUAUUAUAAAUCUAUUUGUCUAGAUAUUAUUGUUGGCUCUAGUUGAAUAUUGAUAUGAUUAUGUGAAUAGUUGUAUGUGAUUAUACUUGUGUUGUGGAUUAGUAUGGAUUUUACAGAUUAUGCAUCCUCCUUCUUUCUCUGAUUCCGAGGACGAAAUCCCUAUAAGGAGGGUAGAUUGUAAUGACUCGGAUUUUUAAAAAUAUUUUUAUUAGUAUUAUAAGUGGUUUUCUUAAUAAGUAAGGAAUAAGAUUUAAUAUUUUAUUCCAGUUUAAGGAGUUUUCAAAAUUUUAUAUUAAACUCCGGGUUAUUGUGUUAUUGAUAAAUGAUUAUAUUUUAAAACUGAUUUUCAUAUAUUGUUUUGAAAAUUCUAGAUGAUUAUUAUGUGAAUAUAUGUGUGAUGUGAGUAAGUGGUAUUGGUGGAUUUGUUGGUUAAUUAAUUAUGGUUAAUUAUGAGUAUUAUAUGAUUAAUAUAUGAAUUUUUGUGAACUUUAUAUUAUCUGGGUUAUUGCGUUAACUGCUCAUAUGUGUUCGUAUUUGAGAGAUUUCAAUUUCUAUAUGCUCAGGAGAAAAUAUAGUUUAUUUGGUUAUGUUCAUAUCGAUUUAUGGAAUGUUAGAUGAUUUUAUAAUCGAUUUACGGAUUUAAUUGCGUAUAUUUAUAUUUAUUUAUUAAUUAUUUGACUUCCGUAAAACCGUCCACUCGUAACGGUUUAGCGAUUUUUCUUCCCGGAAGUUUCAACAAAACUCACCUUUAGCCUAAUUUCAAUAUUCCGGACAUUUUUCGUGUUUUGACUUUUUCGAUCCGGAGUACGGUUUUCCCCGUAGUCGGUCCGGCGGAGUUUUUCGGGUAUUUUAAUUGUUGAUAAUUAUCUGGUUGUCUCGAUAAACGUGAAACUAGAUAUUUUGAUUCAUCCUUAUCUUGUAAUAAUUGCAGUGGGACCCGCAUACUAAUGACUGAUUAAAAAGCCCCGUUUUGAUGAUUAUCUUGAAAACCAGUACCGAUUGGACCCUGCUUUAUUAAUAUAAAGCUACUAAAUACGUAUUUUCAUGUCAUAAACGAUCCAAAGGGGUACCAAUUAUUUGUAAAUAUAAAUAGACCCUUCUAGAGCUUAUUUUCACCCGUAAAAUCAUUUCACCAGUUUCUCUGCACGAAUACCGAGAGAAACCGAGCGGUGUUCUUCGUGUUCUUCAUAAUCAAACGAGGAUUUGGAGGUGUUAUUGGAAUCCGAUGGAGGUGUAUGAAUAGUCAAAACGAAGCUAUCGACGCGUAGAAUCAUGUUUAAUCACCCGUUUGUAUGCAGAUUUAUCAGAUGAUUCGGUGAAAUUUUGGUGAAGUUCUGGUCAGUGGUGGCGUUUUCCGGCGACUGGGGGCGGCGGAGGUGGUAAACUACUGUUUAGCCCCCAGAGUUUCGGAGAUGGUGAAGUGUGGGUACUGUGGUUUCAAAGUUUGCGUUUCAGCCCCUGUAACUUUUGAAAGUUACACUUUAAACCCUGGCCGAAAACUUUCAAAAGUUUACAAAAUAAACCUUUUGAUUUAAUUUUCUAAAAUUGUUUUAUUUAAUUAUUUUAAAUUUCAAAAAUAGUUUUUAAUUAUUUCUUUAUUCAAAAAUAAAUCUAAAUUAGUUUAUUAAUUAAUUUUAAUUAGUAAUUAAUUAUUUUAAUUAGUCAAUUAAUUUAAAUAUUAAUUGAUUAAUUAUUUUAAUUAAUUAUUAAUUGAUUUUAAUUGAUUAAUUAAUUGGAUUUAAUUAAUCCUUUUUGAUUUAAAAAUUCCGAAAAAUAGUUUCGAGCUUUAAAAUAUUUUUCCAAAUUAUGUUCAAGGCUCGACAAUUGUUUAUGAAUGAUUUCAAGUCCAGUUUUGAGCAUCCGGACUUGAUUAUUUAUUCAAAAAGUGAUUCUUUUAUCGAUUUUAAUUCCGAAAAAUGUUUAAAAAUUUUGGAAAAUUCCCGAAAAAUCAGUUUUAACCCAAGACUUGAUUUAAUAUCAAUUGGGAUGGGAAACCUUAUGUGUGGUGUGUUGCCUGCUAUUGGUUGGAUGUGUUAUGUGCCGAUAGGAGAGUGAGAAAACUGUUUUGAGCAUAACUUUUGAUCCGUAAGUCGGAAUCAAGUGAAACGAAAGAGAGACAGAAGCUUAUAAUGUCUAUUUUAAUAUGAUGUGACUAUAUGGCUGAGUCUAUAAGGAUUUGGACGAGACGUGUACGCUCGAAGACGUCAGGAAGUCGAAAUGGUAUUGCAAAGCGAAUAAGGGAUGAACCGAGGAAGCGAAGAUGUACGGUAGAUAGAGUAUAGCCAGAGAUGGUCUAGAGACUAUGAUAUGCAUAGAUUGUGAAAGUGGAAAGAUGAGAUUGAGAUGUGAGACUGGAGUCAGAUUUAAGGCAAGUAUCCUGCACCCUGCUUUUGGAUAUAUUGCAAAUAUUCUGAUUCAUUCUUUUGAUGUGUUGCAAGUAUCCUAAACCCUUCUUUUGGAUAUAUUGCAUGUUCUGAUCCAUUCCUUUGGUAUAUGUUUCAAGUAUUCAUACCUUUCUUUUCAAUGUUCGAAAAUGCGAGUAUUCUGAACCAUUCUUUCUAAUCUUCAAGUUUCUAAAGAAUUUCCGUUUUACAAAUUAAUUCGAAGUUCAGAUUGUCAUUGAAGCAUGUGUUGCUCAGUGAUAGUUAGAGCUUUGAAUGAAUUGGGAUCUUCUUGAUUAUUCAACCCGCCAUUGUCAUGCUGGUUUAGCAGGCUAAAUUCAGUUGCUUAGCCGAUAAUGGAGGAUACUGAAUAGUUGAGGAUUUCCUGAACUGUGAUUUAUGAAAUGAUGGAUCAUGAUUUAUGAAUAGAUUAUUAUCAAAGUUUGAAUUGGAAUUAUUCUGUUGUUGAUGAUAUUUAUGAUGAUGUUCUGUUAAUUUACAUUGGCUUCUUGAAUUGAAUUAGAGAAUUGGAUUAUUGUUUUUAUAUAAACCUGUGGACCAGAUUCGUGGUCAUGUUAGGCCAAUGAGUGCCUUGGAUCCAGUGAUAGAGCAUGGCGGGGCCUGCUCGGGGUUAGGUAUGACUGAUCAGCAUCCUAACCUUGGUUUUUAAUUAAAAUGUGAUAGUCCAAUUCAAUAAUUCUCUUGUGAAGGAUUGAAUUCCUCAGAUUUCUAUUGCUGCAAGGUAUUGUGAUUCUUUUAUACAAUACCUGAAUAUGUGAACUCAGGUUGAAUCUUUUUAUAUCUUGAACUCGAGAAUUUCUGCUAUAUCACUCAGAAUUUUCAUUGUUACUAUUACUUGCUGAGCAUUGUUGCUCACUCUUGCUAUUCUC